This 513-nucleotide ribosomal RNA is filed under the name uncultured bacterium. RNAcentral describes it as "partial 16S ribosomal RNA". It matches the Rfam family "Bacterial small subunit ribosomal RNA", at positions 28 to 523 of the family's 1533-position model. The record is from RNAcentral.
GACGAACGCUGGCGGCGUGCCUAAUACAUGCAAGUCGAGCGGACUUGACAGAGCUUGCUCUGUUCAAGUUAGCGGCGGACGGGUGAGUAACACGUGGGCAACCUGCCCUGCAGAUUGGGAUAACUCCGGGAAACCGGGGCUAAUACCGAAUAACAUUGAAGACCUCAUGGUGUUCUUUUAAAAGGCGGCUUCGGCUGUCACUGCAGGAUGGGCCCGCGGCGCAUUAGCUAGUUGGUGAGGUAACGGCUCACCAAGGCGACGAUGCGUAGCCGACCUGAGAGGGUGAUCGGCCACACUGGGACUGAGACACGGCCCAGACUCCUACGGGAGGCAGCAGUAGGGAAUCUUCCGCAAUGGACGAAAGUCUGACGGAGCAACGCCGCGUGAGUGAAGAAGGUUUUCGGAUCGUAAAACUCUGUUGUUAGGGAAGAACAAGUAUCGGAGUAACUGCCGGUACCUUGACGGUACCUGACCAGAAAGCCACGGCUAACUACGUGCCAGCCGCCGCAGUAA